Olea europaea var. sylvestris is the source of this 1795-nucleotide long non-coding RNA. RefSeq lists it as uncharacterized. The transcript is spliced from 2 exons. The record is from RefSeq and is a predicted model, not a curated record. Lineage: Eukaryota; Viridiplantae; Streptophyta; Magnoliopsida; Lamiales; Oleaceae.
CCAGCUGAAAGGUAGCAUGCGUGCCGUGAGACCAUUUUUGUCUCAAUAGAUCAAAAGGUCUUUAUAUGCGUGCGGGCUCUCUUCCUUUCUUUUAUCUAGCUUAGUCCUCCAUAUAAUUGCAUGCCAGGCCCUUCAAAUUUGGUCAUGUACAAUCUGAUCCUUCAAUUUUGAUUAUCAUAUCAAUUUUGCCCUCCAAAAUUGCAACCCAUUGUUCUCCAACUUUCUGACUUAUGCACUUUGUUGUUAAAUGAUUUUUCUUCGAUGGAUAAAGAAAUGCAAUGCAGAUACUUAAUUGGAUGAUUUCUAUUUUCUACGUCACCCCUGGUUUGCUUUAACUGAUUACUGUUUGCUUACGAAUUCUCUUGUUUAUUAGUUUUCUUUUUGUUGAUUCUGCAAUUUGCCUUUUUUACUGCUUUGUGUCUAUUUUAUCAGCCAAUUGUUCCACCAAUCUUGUACUCCUUUUCUGAUCAAGAUAGUAGAGUUCGUUAUUAUGCCUGUGAAGCUUUGUACAACAUAGCAAAGGCGAGGGACUAAACACGAAUCUAGUAAUUUAUGUUUUUCUUCUUUAUGCAUAUCAAUUUUGGAUUUCGUUCAUUCUUGCUAAUUUGCAGGUUGUGAGAGGAAAUGUUUUAGUGCUCUUCAAUCAGAAUUUUGAAGCCCUGUAUAAGCUUUCCACUGAUUCAGAUCCCAUUGUACAAAGCGCUGCUUCCCUAGACAGGCUUGUAAAGGAUACUGCCACAGAGGGUGAUCUGCUCAGGUACUAUAUCGAUAUCCUAAUAUUGAUUUAAUAUGCAGGAAGGUGAGUUGGAGGUGAAUUUGAGCAUCCUUCCCAAAUACAGGUUUGAGACCUUUAAGGAUGAGGGCAAGCUAGGCGUUGAAGCUGGCAGAAUGGUUCCAAUCCGGUACACAGCAAAGGAGCGAAUACUUCAACGUGGAGAUUCAGUAAGUUCCCUAUGUUUUGACUAGUAAUAUAGUUUGAUUUUGCUGUAGAGUUUUUCAGACUCGGGUAAAGAGCCCAACCAGGAAAAUUCCUAGGUUUGAUUCCUACUGGAUGCACUUGGAAGGUUCUGUUCAAUCGCAGCUCGCGAAAUUGUUACAUAUAGCUCGCCCUUAUGGGGCACUUCACUCGGUAGGGAAAGAAAAAUGAUAGAUGACUGAAAAUCCCGCUUAGAAAUCGCAGCUGUAGUCAGAGUAGUAGUUCUCAUCCAUCAUCUCCGUCGUGGCCUCCUUUUACCUGCCAGUACUUUUUUUACCGGAGGUAAUUCCUAGUGUUUCUUGGGAAAUCGCCUCAUUCUGGUUCAGAUGAACAGUUAGCAAAUGAAAAUGGAUACAUCAUCCAUUUAAGAAUUUUCAUGUCGGCAUUACAAAUUUAUUUGUGAAUAGUCACACCUUAUAGUUUUCCCUUCUUGCGGGAAUGCUGCAUAUAAGGAUGCAGUAGCGAUCCGGGCUAUUCACUGCACUCAUCAUUUUCAUUCGUCGUCUAUUGUGAAAUGGCUCAAGAUGGAGGCACACUGUCCGGUCUGCAAGCGUGACAUCCACAAGGGGAAAGACCAUGAGUAAACAAAGCGAAGAAAAUCACUUCAACUUGUACUUUCGCUUGUCUAAUCAAGGCAGGAAAUUUUACAUCCCAUCCCUGUAAAAUUUUAUGAUUCCAUUGCUAGGGUAAGAAUGGUGAUCGAAGUACCCAGGUAUUUGUGUAUAUUGUGGCAACUUUUUGCAAUAUGCCUUCGGAAGUUUUUGAAAGUCACUGCUUUCUGAAUGAAAUAUGUGAAACGCAGUAGCCAGGAAUUCUUGA